GUGUGCUUUUAAGGUUGAUGCAGUGCUUUAAGGGGCCAACACAGAAGGGUAAAGGAAUAAAACCCAGAAAAGAGAUUCUAAAGCUCCCCUUUGUAUCCUUUCUGGAGUCACAACU
This is a small nucleolar RNA of Callithrix jacchus (white-tufted-ear marmoset), 115 nucleotides long. The record is from Ensembl. NCBI's taxonomy places the organism in Eukaryota, Metazoa, Chordata, Mammalia, Primates, Cebidae.